CCCUUAAAUGUUCUGGGCCGCACGCGCGCUACACUGAUGCAUUCAACAAGCCUAGCCUUGACCGAGAGGUCCGGGUAAUCUUUGAAACUGCAUCGUGAUGGGGCUAGAUUAUUGCAAUUAUUAAUCUUCAACGAGGAAUGCCUAGUAAGCGUGUUUCAUCAAAUCGCGUUGAUUACGUCCCUGCCCUUUGUACACACCGCCCGUCGCUCCUACCGAUUGAAUGUGUUGGUGAGGAGCUCGGAUUGGCAGCAGUUGGUGGUUCGCCACCGGCUAUUGCUGAGAAGUCCUCCAAACCGCCCCAUUUAGAGGAAGGAGAANUCGUANCA
RNAcentral lists this ribosomal RNA (326 nucleotides) under uncultured eukaryote. RNAcentral's name for it is "partial 18S ribosomal RNA". It matches the Rfam family "Eukaryotic small subunit ribosomal RNA", at positions 1470 to 1796 of the family's 1831-position model. The record is from RNAcentral.